GUUUUCUGACCACACUGGGUAUGGAACUUAGGGCCCCACACAUGCUGAGCAAGUGCUCCACUAGCCCCUUAAUCGACUUCUGAGACAGGUUCAAUGAGGCAGAAGACUCGUUCUUCAUGACAUAUGUGUGUAUGUGUGUGUGUAUAUAUGUGUAUAUUUGUCUGUAUGUAUAUGUGUGUAUACACAUGUGUGUAUGUGUGUAUAUAUGUGUAUAUUUGUCUGUAUGUAUAUGUGUGUAUACAUGUGUAUAUGUGUGUAUAUAUGUGUGUGUUAUGUAUGUAUGUAUACAUGUGUAUAUGUGUGUAUAUAUGUGUGUUUGUAUGUGUAUAUACAUGUGUAUAUAUAUGUGUGUGUGUAUAUAUACAUAUAUGUAUAUAUGUGUGUAUAUAUUGUGUUAUAUGUGUGUAUAUAUUGUGUAUGUGUGUAUGUAUAUGUGAGUAUGUAUGUGUAUGUGUAUGUAUAUAUU
This 466-nucleotide long non-coding RNA is filed under the name Rattus norvegicus (Norway rat). RNAcentral describes it as "long non-coding RNA NONRATT028667". Lineage: Eukaryota; Metazoa; Chordata; Mammalia; Rodentia; Muridae. The record is from RNAcentral.